UUAGAGUUUGAUCCUGGCUCAGGACGAACGCUGGCGGCGCGCCUAACACAUGCAAGUCGAACGGAGCUGAGAAGAGCUUGCUUUUCUUAGCUUAGUGGCGAACGGGUGAGUAACGCGUGAGUAACCUGCCCUGGAGUGGGGGACAACAGUUGGAAACGACUGCUAAUACCGCAUAAGCCCACGGAUCCGCAUGGAUCUGCGGGAAAAGGAUUUAUUCGCUUCAGGAUGGACUCGCGUCCAAUUAGCUAGUUGGUGAGGUAACGGCCCACCAAGGCGACGAUUGGUAGCCGGACUGAGAGGUUGAACGGCCACAUUGGGACUGAGACACGGCCCAGACUCCUACGGGAGGCAGCAGUGGGGGAUAUUGCACAAUGGGGGAAACCCUGAUGCAGCGACGCCGCGUGGAGGAAGAAGGUUUUCGGAUUGUAAACUCCUGUCGUUAGGGACGAUAAUGACGGUACCUAACAAGAAAGCACCGGCUAACUACGUGCCAGCAGCCGCGGUAAAACGUAGGGCGCAAGCGUUGUCCGGAAUUACUGGGUGUAAAGGGAGCGCAGGCGGACCGGCAAGUUGGAAGUGAAAACUAUGGGCUCAACCCAUAAAUUGCUUUCAAAACUGCUGGCCUUGAGUAGUGCAGAGGUAGGUGGAAUUCCCGGUGUAGCGGUGGAAUGCGUAGAUAUCGGGAGGAACACCAGUGGCGAAGGCGACCUACUGGGCACCAACUGACGCUGAGGCUCGAAAGCAUGGGUAGCAAACAGGAUUAGAUACCCUGGUAGUCCAUGCCGUAAACGAUGAUUACUAGGUGUUGGAGGAUUGACCCCUUCAGUGCCGCAGUUAACACAAUAAGUAAUCCACCUGGGGAGUACGACCGCAAGGUUGAAACUCAAAGGAAUUGAC
RNAcentral lists this ribosomal RNA (897 nucleotides) under uncultured bacterium. RNAcentral describes it as "bacterial SSU rRNA". It matches the Rfam family "Bacterial small subunit ribosomal RNA", at positions 1 to 914 of the family's 1533-position model. The record is from RNAcentral.